This 406-nucleotide ribosomal RNA is filed under the name uncultured bacterium. RNAcentral describes it as "partial 16S ribosomal RNA". It matches the Rfam family "Bacterial small subunit ribosomal RNA", at positions 30 to 526 of the family's 1533-position model. The record is from RNAcentral.
AUUGAACGCUGGCGGCAGGCCUAACACAUGCAAGUCGAACGAGUGGCGGACGGGUGCGUAAUGUCUGGGAAUCUGCCUGAUGGCGGGGGAUAACUACUGGAAACGGUAGCUAAUACCGCAUACCAUCAUAUGAGCCCAGAUGGGAUUAGCUAGUUGGUGAGGUAAAGGCUUACCAAGGCGACGAUCCCUAGCUGGUCUGAGAGGAUGACCAGCCAAACUGGAACUGAGACACGGCCCAGACUCCUACGGGAGGCAGCAGUGGGGAAUAUGGCACAAUGGGCGCAAGCCUGAUGCAGCCAUGCCGCGUGUAUGAAGAAGGCCUUCGGGUUGUAAAGUACUUUCAGCGGGGAGGCGUUACCGACAGAAGAAGCACCGGCUAACUCCGUGCCAGCAGCCGCGGUAAUAC